RNAcentral lists this transfer RNA (67 nucleotides) under Ateuchotermes sp. TB-2014. Its description in RNAcentral is "tRNA-Arg". RNAcentral also lists the same sequence under 1 other name. The record is from RNAcentral. Lineage: Eukaryota; Metazoa; Arthropoda; Insecta; Blattodea; Termitidae.
AAGUGAGAAGCAAAUAUUUUGCAAUCAGUUUCGACCUGAUCUUAGAUAACAAACUUAUCCUCACUUU